This 1445-nucleotide ribosomal RNA is filed under the name uncultured marine bacterium. Its description in RNAcentral is "16S ribosomal RNA". It matches the Rfam family "Bacterial small subunit ribosomal RNA". The record is from RNAcentral.
ACGCUGGCGGCACGCCUAACACAUGCAAGUCGAGCGAAGUAGCAAUACUUAGUGGCAGACGGGUGAGUAACAUGUAGGUAUCUGCCCUUUGGCCUGGAAUAACACGAGGAAACUUGUGCUAAUACCGGAUAAGUCUUUACGGAGAAAGCUUUAUGCACCAUUGGAUGAGCCUGCACUUGAUUAGUUCGUUGGUAGGGUAAUGGCCUACCAAGACUAUGAUCAAUAGCUGAUUUGAGAGGAUGAUCAGCCACAUUGGGACUGAGACACGGCCCAAACUCCUACGGGAGGCAGCAGUGGGGAAUCUUGCACAAUGGAGGAAACUCUGAUGCAGCGAUGCCGCGUGAGUGAAGAAGGCCUUUGGGUUGUAAAGCUCUUUCGUCGGGGAAGAAAAUGACUGUACCCGAAUAAGAAGGUCCGGCUAACUUCGUGCCAGCAGCCGCGGUAAUACGAAGGGACCUAGCGUAGUUCGGAAUUACUGGGCUUAAAGAGUUCGUAGGUGGUUGAAAAAGUUGGUGGUGAAAUCCCAGAGCUUAACUCUGGAACUGCCAUCAAAACUUUUCAGCUAGAGUAUGAUAGAGGAAAGCAGAAUUUCUAGUGUAGAGGUGAAAUUCGUAGAUAUUAGAAAGAAUACCAAUUGCGAAGGCAGCUUUCUGGAUCAUUACUGACACUGAGGAACGAAAGCAUGGGUAGCGAAGAGGAUUAGAUACCCUCGUAGUCCAUGCCGUAAACGAUGUGUGUUAGACGUUGGAAAUUUAUUUUCAGUGUCGCAGCGAAAGCGAUAAACACACCGCCUGGGGAGUACGACCGCAAGGUUAAAACUCAAAUGAAUUGACGGGGACCCGCACAAGUAGUGGAGCAUGUGGUUUAAUUCGAAGAUACGCGCAGAACCUUACCAACACUUGACAUGUUCGUCGCGACUUUAAGAGAUUAGAGUUUUCGGUUCGGCCGGACGAAACACAGGUGCUGCAUGGCUGUCGUCAGCUCGUGUCGUGAGAUGUUGGGUUAAGUCCCGCAACGAGCGCAACCCUCACUUUUAGUUGCCAUCAUUUAGUUGGGCACUCUGAAAGAACUGCCAGUGAUAAGCUGGAGGAAGGUGGGGAUGACGUCAAGUCCUCAUGGCCCUUACGUGUUGGGCUACACACGUGCUACAAUGGUAUCUACAACAGGAAGCAAGACUGCGAGGUCAAGCAAAUCCCUAAAAGAUACCUCAGUUCGGAUUGCACUCUGCAACUCGAGUGCAUGAAGCUGGAAUUACUAGUAAUCGUAGAUCAGCGUGCUGCGGUGAAUGCGUUCCCGGGUGUUGUACACACCGCCCGUCACACCAUGGGAGUUGGUUCUACCUUAAGGCAAGGUUUUAAACCCUUGACCACGGUAUAGUCAGCGACUGGGGUGAAGUCGUAACAAGGUAGCCGUAGGGGAACCUGCGGCUGGAUUACCUCCUUUCU